UUGCAGCGACCACUUGAGAAUAAAAGGGAGCCCUUGGUGGAUGAAAGUGAGCAACCAAGCAAGAAAGUAAAGUUCUCUGUUGGUGAAAAAGUUUGGGCAUUGUAUAAGGAUGGACAUUCCUACAAGGCCAGGAUUAUAAGGAUUAACAAAAACUCCUACAGAGUGAAGUAUAUUCAAGAUGGAGUGGUCCAUGAUGUGGAUGGUGAAGGACUCGUUACUUAUGAUUGAAUUACCUCAAUUACCAGAAAUUUUCAUCUUAUGAACACAAUAGAGAUGUUA
Molecule: long non-coding RNA, 279 nt
Organism: Mercenaria mercenaria
Lineage: Eukaryota; Metazoa; Mollusca; Bivalvia; Venerida; Veneridae
Exons: 3
Source: RefSeq, a predicted model, not a curated record